This is a non-coding RNA of Salmo salar (Atlantic salmon), 73 nucleotides long. The record is from Rfam. Lineage: Eukaryota; Metazoa; Chordata; Actinopteri; Salmoniformes; Salmonidae.
CUCCCUGUGGCUCAGUUGGUAGAGUAUGGUGUUUGCAACACCAGGGUUGUGGGUUUGAUUCCCACGGGGGGGC